Long non-coding RNA from Daphnia pulex (common water flea), 327 nucleotides. RefSeq lists it as uncharacterized. NCBI's taxonomy places the organism in Eukaryota, Metazoa, Arthropoda, Branchiopoda, Diplostraca, Daphniidae. The record is from RefSeq and is a predicted model, not a curated record. The transcript has 2 exons.
GAAUGAAAAGAAGCUUCCUUUUGAUCAUCCAGCAACUUUAAUCAAUUUAAAAUGUAUAGCUUACGAAAUUUUUCACAGAAAGAAAGAGAACUGAUGGAAUUUGCCGAGUUAGCUGGGAUUAUUAUGAAUCCUCGAAUAUUAAGAAGCAUCAUUGAACUUCUUCAAGCAAACACGUCCCCAGCAUCCAUUAUUCAAAUGUUAAGCGAGUUAUCCAUCUUUCGAGUACAAGAGAAGACUAGAAGACAAAAAAUGCUCAAACAUUUGAGUGAAAAAUAAUGCUGUAGAGAUGAUUUUGUUUCUCUUCAAAUAUAUUUUUAAUUCCCUUUG